GUCUUGUAAUUGGAAUGAUGGGAAUUUAAACCUCUUCCAGAGUAUCAAUUGGAGGGCAAGUCUGGUGCCAGCAGCCGCGGUAAUUCCAGCUCCAAUAGCGUAUAUUAAAAUUGUUGCAGUUAAAAAGCUCGUAGUUGAAUUUCUGCUGCUUUGCAUUUUCUCCUUGACGAGUUUUUGCAUUGUGGCUUAUUUCGGAUUAUGCUUGCAUUUUCCGGAUGUUUACUUUGAGAAAAUUAGAGUGCUCAAAGCAGGCUUUUGCCUUGAAUAGUUUAGCAUGGAAUAAUAAAGUAGGACUUUGGUUCUAUUUUGUUGGUUUUAGGUACCAAAGUAAUGGUUAAUAGGAACAGUUGGGGGC
This 355-nucleotide ribosomal RNA is filed under the name Theileria cervi. RNAcentral's name for it is "SSU rRNA". It matches the Rfam family "Eukaryotic small subunit ribosomal RNA", at positions 500 to 889 of the family's 1831-position model. The record is from RNAcentral. Lineage: Eukaryota; Apicomplexa; Aconoidasida; Piroplasmida; Theileriidae.